Long non-coding RNA from Malaclemys terrapin pileata, 455 nucleotides. RefSeq lists it as uncharacterized. The record is from RefSeq and is a predicted model, not a curated record. The transcript has 4 exons. Lineage: Eukaryota; Metazoa; Chordata; Testudines; Emydidae.
GAUGGAACGCGCCUUCAGAUUGGGAUUGUUCUACUGACAAGAUCUGCCAGGCAAGCUUGGAAUCUGGAAGUUCACAUUACUUAGCUAUUGUUCAGCAUUAAAUUAUUGCUCUUGACUUGUGAAAGGUGAACUAAGACUUUUCUGACUGCACUUGUUGACGUGGGUAAUUGUGAAGAGUUUCUAUGUUCCAUCUGAAUUUCUUCUUUCACCUUUAAUGAAGAUACUUGAAAAUUGUUUAAUUUGUUUCCUCUUUUUCAUUGAGGGGGUUAAAGUAAUCUAGUUGCUGAUGUAAUGCUUUUUAUAGUGGAAAAAGUAGUGGUGAAGGCAAGAAAUCGGUCUCAACGCAUUUGUUUCAGCUGCAACCUGUAGAUCUUGGGAGACUGCUUUCGGAGGCUGUUGUAAAAUCCUCUUCAUUUGUAUAGUUAAUAAACAUGAUAUGCUGCCCUUGAUUUAAA